CUCAGGCCCCUCCUGAAGAAGCUACUGAAGAGGCAAAGCCAUCUGCCUAAGCUAUCAGCUCCAGCACCAUCCACCCAUCUCAUCAUAUAUAUCUAUUUUAAAUUUCUUUUAAGUAUUGCGCUUUUAUUACUUUUUUAUGAAAUCCCAUCUUUUUGAUAUCAUAUAUGGGAUUGCUUGUAUUGUUUCCUUUUUGCUUGUACUCGCAUGAAUUAAAGUAAUACAAGUCUAGCAUUUUUUUUGUUAACUCUUAGCAUUAAUUUAUUCUUAUUUCCUUUUCUCACAUCUUUUAUCCUUUUUGAAACAUGUGGUUUCUCCAAUCAGUGUUCGAAAUUUAUAUCACUCAGGAGGUACCACUUUCUCCCUUUAAUUGCAAUCACCCAUAUCACAUUAAGGACAAUGCUCAGUUCGGUUGGGGGGGGGGGAGAGAAAUGAGGAAGGAAGUAUGCUAAGUUAAAGAAAGUAUGCUAAGUUAUUUUGGUAAUGCAAUUAUGUUGAUAAAUUAGUUAUAAUCUUUUACAGUCCACUCUAAUCUCCAUGGAUUUUGAGGAAAAAUUUUCAAAUAAAAACAGGAGAAGUUGAACUGUUGCUUUUCACUUGACUUAGAGUGUGGAUUAUGCUUGCUAAAGUGGUUCAAUUGUUGAAGCUUCUAUUGAAAUCGAGUUUAGUUCUUCCACUUUAAGCUAUUCACACACCAUGCACAAUAGGUUCCGAGUAUAAGAUGAAAAACUAUUUCCCUCUUGACUUAGGAAAAUUUUGGGACUUGGUACCUUUGACCUCAGUUGAUAAAGUUGAGACACCUUAUGAAAGGCCAAUGAGCCUUUGAAAUAAAGAAAGAAAAUCUUUAAAACCUGGUGCCCUAAGCCUUAAUUGGUUGGGAGUCACCGACCUCAAUGCUCGUUACAAGGGUGGAUAGGUGGAGUUAGCAUAUGGUAGGUGCUUGGGUAUUAAAACAAUCAUUCUCAAAAGUGCGGGGUAAAAUCCGAGGAGUUAGUGGUUGAAAGAUCCUCAAAGCUUGAUGCCCUAAACCUUAAUUGGUUGGGAGUCAUCGAUGGACCCCCGUUACAUGGACAAUUCAGAAAGAAUACCCCUUAAGCCUUGUGCCUUCUAAAAAAAAAAAAAAAAAGUGUGUUCUCUGCCUAUUGAAUUUGGUCAUUUUGCUAAGUGUUGAGAAGAGAUAGGUUGGGGGGAGAGAUUAGUUUAGCAUACUAUAUUCGGAUGCUAAGGAAUCAUACACUUAGAUUUUUGUGGAAGAAUAAAGUUUGGUUCUUUGAAAGUGAAAAUGAUUAUAAAACUUCAGUUUGCAUAAUGCAUUCCCUUGAUCAAUAGUGUUUAGCAAAGUUUUUGGAUAACUCUUGUUGAAAUUUGGGUUUAUAUUUCUUUAAUGUCUCAUGUGAGAGUUAGAUCAUCAUGCCACUUAAAAUUUUUUGAAGUAAUCAGCAUGAUGUUGUAAAUUAUAAUUAUUUUUAUUUUUAUUUUUCUCUCCUUCAUUGCUAAGGGACUAGCAAUAUGUCGGUUGGGGGGAGUGAUUACUACUCAAAAAGUGCUAUUUUGUAGCUUGUAAUUAACUCUUUUAAUUACUCUUGAGUAGCAAUUAUUACCUUUUAACUCAAUUGACAUGUUAAGAACCCUUGCAAUCGUUUCUAAUCAAAUUGUGUUAAGUUUUGGUGUUUUGAUAGCUUUUUGAUCACCAAAGCAAUCCGAGGAUGAGGAGAGUUAUUUGGAAUUCUUGGAAAAGCAUUGGAAAGCUCAAAUUCAUGAAGAACCAAAGCUUUGAAGUCCUUUUCCAUAAGCAAAUCCGGAAUGCAAGGAGGAGAAGCAAAGAGAAAUCUGCCAUGAAGCAUUCUUGAUGACAGUCAUGUCAGCCACUUUUGGAGCACUUUCUGAAGUCCAAUUUAUGCAUACUAUAUGUCGUUUCAAAGAUCAGGAAGUAAACAAUCCAAUGCUUCAACUUUGUGCAAUUUGGAGUUGAAAUGAAGGAGUUACAGCCAUUGCAAGCCGAUCACUCCAAGUUGAAGGAAGAAUUUUGCACAGCGCUGCGAAAUCACCCUUUUGUUGUGAGAUGAUUUCGCAGCCUUUUUGUACAGUGCUGUGGAUUCUCCCCUGAAGUUUCCCGUCACAAUGGAAGCCGAAUACCACAAGAUGAAAGAUCACUUCACAGCGUUGCGAAAUUAGCCGAUUGCUGCGAAGUGAUUUCGCAGUCCUUCUUGUGCCUCUGUGAAAUCUCGCAGACCUCGUUUGCACUUGCGAAAUGAUCCUUAGUGCGUCCCGAUAUUUGCUACCGACACUUGGAGAUAUUUCUCAUCAGAUUUUUGUUGUCUAAAUCCCAAAAUUCUCCUUGUAAGCCACCAAUUAUAAGUUUCCUUAGUUUUUAAGUUAGGAAAAAGACUAAAUAUCCAUGUAAUAAUUAGUAUUGUAAUUUUUCAUAUAAAUAGCUCUCGAGAGCCUGUUCUGGGAGAGGAACCCUUAUGUAAAAGUUUGAAAGCAAGUAAAACUCAGGACCUUUAUUUUGCCUUAUCUUCUCACUUUGUAUUUUUCAUUUUUUUCUAAGUUAUGCACUCUCUAAGGAAGUUUCCCCAGAGAAUGAGUAAUUAAACCUUUAGUUCCUUGGAACUAAGGUUGCCGGGAAAGGUUCCAAGUGCAAGAAUGCAAGACUUUGUGGUUUCAGCCAUGAAUGAAGAGGAAGAGAAAUCCUUUAGUGAUUUCUAUGUUUUUAGUUAACUUAAAACACCUUAGAGUCACUUGGGCCAACACUUGGUAAGGCAAGUGAUCUCUGUCCAAGGAGAUGCACUAGUUUACCCUUUGCGAGCCUCUAGGAGGUGACUUGAAGGUAGGAUUUUUCUAGAAUUGCCAACACUUGGUAAGCUUUUGGACUCCAAGGAGACAUCCAUUAGUUAUCUCUUGCGAGCUUGAGAAGGGAAGUCCAAGGUUAAAGAUCACCUUGAAUGGUUAAGGCUUAGUGAGAGGCUCGAACCGUUGCAAGUUGCAUCAGUGAGAGAAUUAAAGCUGAAAUCUAAUUAAAGGAUGUAUCUGUACAACACCGGUUAGAGAAUUUACUAUAUGUUGAUUCUCUAACGCGAGGAAAUGAACCAACUGACCGGAGCUAUGUCUGUUGCAUGAGGAACCUCCCCAGUGAACCUGACCCUCCAAGGAAUGUUUUUCUUCCUAAGUAAUUUCCAUCACUUGCUUUGUAGUCAUUUUAAAUCUAAAUCUUUACCAAUCAAAGUUUUUGUUUUAUUUCUUGAGCUAACCUUGAAAUGAAAAAGUACCAAUUCACUUUGAAUUGGUAUCAUUUGUAAUUUGGAAACCCUUCCCAGUGAACGAUCCUAGAGCCGCUAUACUAUAGUAGCUUUUUCUUUGCUACCCUAGUAUAUGGUGUAAUAGGUUAUAAAUUUUGUUGAUUACUCCCUCAAUCAAGGAGCAUUAACUGGACACGAAUCAGCUGAGACACCAAUUAGGCAUGAAUCAAGAAUUGAACUAAUUUUCAAGUAAGGAUUUUAAUUUAAUGAAGGUGGGAAAUGUUUGAUCUUUAGUAUGUAAAUGACAUAGCCAUGAAAAUCUAGAGAAGUCAUCAAUGAAGAGUAAGAAUACUUUGCAUCAGUUGUAGAAAGAAUAGGUGCAAGACCCCAUAAGUCAGUGUGAACCAAGCUAAGAGGAUAAGAAGCUUUAGUUUUAGAUAACGAAAAUGGUAAUUUGUGACUUUUUGCGUGUUGGCAAGCAUAAAAAAUAGUAUGUUUAUGAUUGUGGAAAGAAACAUUACAAGAUGAAAGAAUUUACUUCAAAGUAUUGGUAGCAGGAUAACCAAGAUGUAGGUGCCACAAAUCAAACAUAUUAUUCAUGUUCCUAGUAAUAAUACUUUGGAGGUAAAGAAAGCUAAGGGUGCACCAAUUUGAUUGAUAGAAACUAGUAUAAGCCAUUCUUAAGUUUGCUUUGAAGAAAAAGCCUUCCUCAUAUCCUAAUCCUUAAUAAGAAAGAAAUGAGGAUGAAAUUCAAAAAUUGAGUUAUUGUCAAUGCAAAAUUUGGAAAUACUAAUUAAGUUUAUAGCCAGGUAAGGAAAAUGAUUUUUUUUUUUUUGUAAUUGAAAGAGCUUGAGAGUAGAUUUAAAGGACUUAGAACCAACAUGCAAGAUGGAAAGUGUCUUACCAUUACCACAAUCACUUUGUCAUUUCCUUGAUAUGGUUGAACAUUUGAGAAAGUACUAACACUUUGAUACAUAUGAUGUAUUGCAUCAAUGUCAAGAAACCAAGAUAAUUUGUUGUAAAAUGAGAGGAAACCAUAGCUUGCAUCUGAUUAUUGUUUCUAUUAUUUGGUGAAACAUUAUUGUUGUUACUAGUCAAGGUAUUAAAACCUUUGAAAGUUGAUAUCAAAUCGAUGGUGGCAUGUAACAUUAUGAUUUAUUUCCAUUAUUGUUGCUCUGAACUCCUUGACCACAACCACCAAUAUGCUCACUUCCGUGAUUAUAGUUGAAAUGAUUUAUGUUGUUGGAGUGAUUACUUCCUAUAGUGUUCUAAUAUCUUUUAGUGUUAUUAUUUCAUUCUUGUGUGGUAGUAACAUUAGUAGCAAUAUUAUCUCUUUUUAUGGUUCAUGUGUCUCUCUAAACUAGAAUUCAAAAAUAAUUUUAACAAUGAAGUUUUGUAGGAGCAAAAGUUUAAACUAGAUUAGUCAUUAAACCUUUUAGUUCUUGAACCAAAAAUAAAAAGAACUAACAAUUGCAUAGCAAUUAGGUCGUCUCCAUAUGGAACAUGCAUUGGAUUAACCAUGCUAAAGGUGGGAGCUUUGGGGAUGUGAGUGCUAGUUGGAGAUAAAAAUUAUUAAUUUUUAAAUUUUUGGAGAGAAUGAGGGAACUAGAAACUGGAAAAUAAAAAGUAAAAACUUGAUGAACUCUAAUAACAAAAAUUCACUUAAAUUCCUUGUCUCAAGCUCAACCCUCCUACAUAGUGUUGGUCUUGUGCUUGUGGCUUUAGAACCAAGCCCUAGGCUUACACUAUUCGAAGGGUUCCAAUUGACAUAAGUAGUAACCACCUCGAUAGAAAGAUAUACUUAGUCUAAUUGCUCUUUUUUGGGUUCUCACAAUAAAAUGAUUUAAGUGGGUUUUUACUCAUGUCAAAAGGUCUGCUUUUGGUUUAUGAGACCACUAGAGCUAAAACUAAGGUUACUUGGCUUGUGACCUUCACAACUAUAGCCUUUGCUCCCCAUAGAAACUCCUUGUGGUCCUUGUUACUAUUGACUUAAGUUAGGUACUCAAUGUGGUCCUCAUAACUACUAAACUAAGUUAUGACCUUUUCAAACAUCGAUAACUACACCAAUGGUGAACUAAACUGGGGUAUAGGGACCUUAACUCCUUUCACCCUUUCAAGCAAGAAUAAUAACAAUAAAAAAAAACACACACACACAACAUAUAAACAUAAACAUAAAAUAGAAAACUAAAAAGGAAAGGUUAUAAAGAGAAAAAAAAAACACAAGGACUAAAACAAUCUAACUUAUUUCCCUAUCAAUACCCCAUCUCCCUUUGUUUAUUUUCAAGUAAUAAAAAGGAAAAGAAACACAAGGACUAGAACAAUCUAACUUAUUUCCCUAUUGAUACUCUCUAUUUUCCUUUGUUAAUUUAUAGUUUCUAUAUUUAUAGCCAAAAAUAUCCCUUCUCCCCUAUUAAUCUAAAGUUGUCCCUAGUUAGCUAAGCCACCAACCUGUAUUGUGAUAUAGUGUGUCAAUGCAACCAUUAAUAAAAAAAUGUAAGUGUGGAGUGAAUGGCUACACUUCCUAUCUUUUCAAUGUGGUAGCAUGGUGAAGUAGAUGGAUCAAUCAAAGCUAUAGGGGUGUUAUUUUCUACGCAACCUUUAUGAGUGCCCAAUGAUUGGAAGAUUUGGCAUGUGCACAAGGUGGAGCGAUGAAGGCAAUGAGUUGAGAUAGAAGUUAUCUAGGUAUGCUUCAUAGUUAGAGAAGAGAGCUCACUCUAAGAUUAGGGAGGUGUGCCACUUAUUUAAGGAAAAUUACACACUUAAGGUUGAAAAUGUGUGCUUGGCUUAUUGAUGAAUCAAUAGCACACUUAUGGUUAUUGGUUCUAUGAGCACUAUGCAGGUUGGGGUGGUAUGGUAUGCUUCUUUCUUAAUGCGCUUGAGUAGUGUGUAGUUGUUGGGGCGCUUAAGGGAAGUGUGCUACUCUUGAUUAGAAAGUGAUUAAAAUACCUUUAAAUGCCAAAUUCUUCAUAACCUUAGGGAAAAUGGAGAGAAAUGGUUAUUUUUUAAAAAAAAAAAUCCUCUUUUUAUAUUUUUCUUUUCAAUUAUGAGUUGAAAUUAACGUCCUCCCUGAUAUUAGAAAGUGAUUAAAACACCUUUAAAUGCCUAAUUCUCCAUACCUCUACAUGUGACAUUUGACACUUCAUAGCAAUGACAUUUGACACUUCCAUUACAUCUUGAACUAAUUACAUUUUCUUUAUUUAUUACAUAUACACAUUUUUUAAGCAAUUCAAAUGGUUGUUAGAAUUGUUUUACUAGAAUUUUUUGUACAAUUACAAAAUUUAAUUUUUUUUAUUUACUAAUCAUUAUUGCUAAAUUGAUGAUGCCACUUUAUUACAAGUGUUUGUACUUCCUUAAUUAUUUUUAAUUAUUUUAUCAAUUUAAAAUUUUUCAUUUGAUUUUUUUUUUUUUAAAUCUAUCCAAAUCCAGGAUGUUACAAUGUGGAAUUUUUGUAUGGAUUAAUAGUAUGUUACUUGGAUUUAUUUUGCAUCAAUAUAAGUUUAUAGAAUUAUUAAGAUGCAUGCUACAACCUAUUAUAGGUUUCAAUUAGAAUAGUCAUUACUUACAUUACAUGUUUUCAGGCUCAUGGAUAUCACAAGCUAGCACAAGAUUUCAGACUGUACAUAGUCUAAUUUGAAAAAUUCUCUACUUGUAUUAUUGUUUAUCUCAAGUAUAUAUAUAUAGAUAGAUAGAUAAAAUUGAGUUCAAUUUGUGACAUUUGGUUUAACUCAUGGGGUUGAGACUUAGGGUAUUAUAUGUAUAUGCAUUGUACAUCAUGAGAAGUCCUUGCUUUUCUUAUGUAAAUUAUUUUUAGUUUUUUACAAGAUCUAUCAAAUGAUGGACUAUAUCCUUGUAACUCCUUUUUCAUCACUUUAUUUCAUGACUUUUAUUCAAUACUAUUUUAAGUAUAACAUGACUUUGAUGUAAUAUUAAAAAAAAAUUAAAAUUCAAUCAUUGUGAUAGUUAAUUAAACAUCAAAUAUUAUGAAAGGGAAAAACUAAUAUCAAAUGAGUAAAAUGAUUAUCAUGCAAAUUAUCUCAUAUCUAGCAACGUUGAAAACUAGAGUUGGGAUCGUCGUCGAUAUGGAUACCAAGUAAAAUAUAUCCUUUGUAGACUUCCAAAUACUAUAUAUCUCUUUCCAUUUGUCAAAAUUUUUAUUGUCAUUAAAAUAAUAUUAAUUGAUGGUAACAUAGUAGAUCUUUAAUAUAUAUAGCAAAAAAAAAAAUUUCCAAACACAUUAUAACUUGAAAUCUUCUUUUAUUUGCCCUAAUCGCCACCGCACUCUCUAUCUUAUAUCUCCUUUCGCAUAUAUAUAGCUCAUCUUUUCUGCUUAUUUAUAACUUCAAAUUUGAUCAUUUACCAACUCUAGGUCUGAUUGACCAUUGUAGCCAUUGCCUCCAUAUUUGACAUCAUAUUGUUUUUAUAUCCUCACUAAAACUAACCUUUUACGUGCAUCUCGAUCGCUAAGAUGGUCUUGUUGUCAUCACACCAAUCUUUCAUACGUCUAGCUUAUCAGUAAUGACAUAGUCAUGUUCGAUUGUAAGUUUCUCUCUUAAUCUCUUGAAAAAAAUGAUAUUUUGUAUGAUUUCUAUUAGAUUUUUUUUUUUUUUUUUGUUUUAUUUUUUCUAGAUAGUACAGAAAAAAUCAAUUGUCAAUCUAAUUCUAGCCUUGAGUAGCCUGAUUCUCCCCUUCCAAAUUUUCUUUUUAAAAUUGUUUAAGAAAAUCAAAAGAAAAUAAUCCUUGGUCUUUUUUGAAGUUACAUUAAUUAAAAAGGAUUUUAAGAAGAAUUGAUCCUUAGGAUCGCAUGCAUAUCAUAAAUAAUUUUCAAGUAAAAUUAGGGAAUCAUUUUCCAUCCACUUGUAUGUUAUUCAAGAAACAAAAAAAAAAAAAAAAACCCUAAAAUCUUUUUAUGAAUUUCACUAGAAUUUUUAGGAAACAAACUUUGAAGUAUUAGAAGACUUGUAAAAAAUUUUAAAUUUUUGUUAAUGAAAUUUCUUUUCUUUUUGUUGGAUCUUUAAGAAAAAUCCCAUUUUUCAUUAUUUUUAAUAGAUUUUUUUUUAUAUAUGAUCAUGUUUGUCAUUUUUAAAUUAGGUUGUUUAAUUAGAUGAUGCUAACAUUUUUUAUUAUGUUGCUUUGUGAUUACUUAAUUAUUUAAGAUCUUCUCUACAGAUGUACAAUGAUUAAGUUUUCCUUUUUUCUUUCUAUUUUUUGCUUAAACUAUGAAUUUGUGAGUUCUCCUUUUUCAAAAGAUAAAAAAAAAAAAAAUCAAUUGUUGGGGAUUUGAUAUGAUUAAGCGCAUACUAUUUAGGUCAUUGAUGUUCUUUUUAUUUGUAGUAAAGACAUAACACACCUACCCGCAAACAAAAAAUAGACAAAUAACUAGGUAACCUAAAUGUAUUGGUAGUUUCACUAGGGAAGUUUUUGUUACCUAGAAAUAAUCCCUCUUUUAAAUCCCUAAUUUUGUAUUUUGUUGCCUUCAUUGGAAAUUGAAUAACAAUUUCCCAAAUAAGAUAUGAAAAGGAAAAAUAUGUUUUUCACAAUAAUGAAUAACAUUAUUAACCUUAAUGAUUUUGCCUUAGUACUAAUACUGACCUACCUAUUUAACCCAUUAUAAUAAAGUUACUGAAGACACUGCUAGGUAAUAGUAAGAUCAUAUAUAAAUUAAAAUUGAGGUAGUAGUUCUUCUAGUAAAUUACAUGUCUGUCUAUAAAGACAUACAUGGUCUUAUAAAAAUGAGAGAAGUCCCCUUAGUUUAUAUGCCUCUUGACUUGAGUCUAUGAUCGAUGUUUGUCCUUAUAUCAAACCAAAUAUUCCUAUUGUUGUAAGUCUUUUAUCAUAGGUUUUAAUGCAAAGGGACAUUUGAUUAAAAGGGAUAAUCUUAAAGUGAUACAGAUGACCUCUUUUAAAAACCUAGAAUAUGAAAUUUUUUGAAAACAUUUUUCAUCAUUUUUCAUACCUCCACCUCAAGAGACACUUUUGCAUGGUAUGUGAUUGUUUCAAGCUUUUAUAUCUAAUAAAAAAUUAAGUAAUUAUUCCUCUUAUUUAUCUCCCUUUUUAAAUCUCAACCAGUCCUUUUAAAUCUUCUUGUAAUUAAGCCUCAUAAGAAAAUAUAAACUUGGUUAUAAUGAGUUUAAUUACAAUUCUAAAUAACAUAUGUGCUUACCAUAUCAUUUUCCUAUUUAGGUAUACUACUCAAUGGCAUAAGCAUUUAAUGGUGUGAGUGGAGUUGGAAAAAGGUAUAAAUUUUACAAAUUUUUUAUUCUAUUAGAAUUCAUAUAAUAAUUUAGAAAGUAAUGCUUUACAAAAUGUGCAACAUUUGCAUGUAUUUGUUUUAAUUGUUUGUUAGAUGGGUGUUGCCUAUUUUAGUUAAGUUAAUAAAUUUUCAUAUAUUAUAAUGUAAUUGAUAAUUUUAAUGUAUACAUAACCUAUUAAGAACCCAUGUGUUUUAUUUGCAAAUUAUAGGAAAGCGGUGACUCGUUGGAGCCAGCUAACAUUGCAAAAUAGUUGCUUACUACGAGAGUUUUUACAGGUUAAAAAAGGUCUUAAUAAUUGUAUAUUGUUUCUAAAUUGUGUUUUCUCCUUCUUCUAAGAGACACUUCUAAUGUUAUGUAAGAGGAUUCUAAUUCCAAUCUGAGCCUCUUGAAAAUCUAGAGACACCUACGUUCAUAAGGCCUUGAACAAGAUGGGUCCUUCUGGUUCUUCCACUCUUGACUUUCUUCUUCUACUUCUACCGUAAAAUGCUUCUGCCCAACAAUGAUAUAGAUCAACUCUUCCUUGAAUUCAGGGAAUCCAUCCAUAUCAUAGAAUGGGUCAUCUUAUUUCUUCCUCUCAUACUCCCCUUGUAAUGUCCCAAACCCAAUUUAAGGGUAAAAUCAUAAUUUAGAAACUAUUAAUUAAUUAAAGUAAUUUAGUAAGGGUAAAAAGGUCUUUUUGUAUUUAAAACCCCUAGAUAUAAAUUAGGUUUUUCUUAUCUUCUCUAUUCAGAAAACCCUUUCACACAAAGAUCAAAAAGAUAAGAGAGCAUGGGGCUGAAGAUUUGGAGGUUUAGCGUUUGAAGAUCAAUUUUCCAAGUAAUAUUUUUAAUCCUUAAAUUUAUACUUUAUAUUCGUUAAUUAGUUUUGAAAACUUUAGAUAUUCUUUGGAAUAUCUCGAUUUUGAUUAGAGUUCGUUUAAUUAACUUAUAGGUCAAAAAGAUUAAAAAUUUAUGAACAUGGCUUGAUUUAUUAAUGGAGAUCGACAGAUUUUUAUUUCUCAAAUGAAUAGAUCUAAAUAAAUAAAUAAAAUAAGUGUCGUGUGAUUUUCUGGAAUGGUGAAUAAAAUAAUAAUAAUAAUAAUAAUAAUAAUAAUAAUGUAGAUGUGUGUGGUGUAGUAGAGGGUUUAAAAGAAAAAAAAAAUGUGUGUGGACGUCCAGGGAAGGAAUGAACAAAAGAAAAAGAAAAAGAAAGGUGUUAUUAUUGUUAUAAUAAUAAUGAGUGUAGUUGGUGGCUUGGAGUAAUAGUGUUGCAGGGUCUUUGAAAGUAAUAAUAAUAAUAAUAAUAAUAAUAAUAAUAUAUAUAUAUAUAUAUAUAUAUAAUGGGGUGUGGGGUGGAAUUGUGGUUAAGUGAUAGUUGGAUUAUAGGAACAAUAACAAUAAUAGUUUCUUGUAUAGGUUUUAAUUUAAUUUAAGUAUAUAAAGAAAUAAAUAGUGAGGGUAAGAUUAUGAAAGAAAAUGAAUUUUACAAUAAUUUGGAAACUCACUAAAUUAAUUUAUUAUUGUUUAGUAAGUUGAAAAUAAGAUUCGGUAGUAAUAAUAUUAGCAUGAGAAAUUAAUUAGGAUCCCUAAUACUAAAUAAAAUAUUUUUAGGAUUGUCAAAUUUUUACCUUUAGAUAAUUGUGUAUGAUAUUAUGUUAGGUGAGGAGUAAAUUCGUCAUGCUAAAUACUUCAUGUUUUUUAGCGCUUUUUCAAGGUAAGGGAAAUUAAUGCAGAUUUUUAUAAAAGAAAAUAAUUUCAUUUUUAUAUUGUAUUUUGAAAUGUGUAAAAAUAUUAUUUUUAUCUUUACGCAUGGAUCAAAUAUGUGUUUUGUAUGGAAAGUAUAUUUGAGAAUUUUCUUUGUUUAUAAAAAAUGAAAAAUUGAGGAGAUAUGAUAUUUUGUUUUAUAAGCUUGAAUUAAUGAAAUAAAGUGUUUGACUCUGGAUUAUAUGACCCUAAUCAACGGGUUAUGAUUGUUGACAUUUUCGGCCCUAGUCAACGGGUUAUAAUAGUUGAUAUUAUAUGGCUCUAGUCAAUGAGUUAUAAUAGUUGACCUUAUGACCCUAGUCAACGGGUUAUAAUAGUUGACCUUAUGGCCCUAGUCAAUGGGUUCUAAUUAUUGACAUUUGGUUUUGUUGACCUUAAAUGGAACAAAUUUGAAACUAGUUACUCAAUUGUGAAGUCCCACCUAAUUGGGCACCCUUUGUCAUACGAUAACCAGAGUAAAGAUAUUUUGAAUGUAUUCGAUUUGGUUUUGAUGAGAAAUUGUUUUGAAAUGGAUAUGAGAAAGUUUUGUUGAAAAUUUUGAAUGUAUUAGUAUUUUGAAUUCAAAAGUUUUUAUGAAAAUAAGUAAAUGUUAUAUCUCCUAUUUGCAAGCAUGAUUGAAAAUGUUUGAUCCAUGAAACUGUAUUAAUGUUCCUUAUUGGGCUUUGAGCUCAUCCCUCUUUGUUGAUAAUCUUUCAGGUAACCUCAGUUCGGGCGAGGAGUGAUCAUUAGGAGGGAAAUUUGGCUUUAUUAGGACAUUUGUUUAAACUCUCUUUAUGUUGGACAUUGUUUAGAUGUUAAAACUUAAUUCUCAUUUGAAUUAUUUAAGUUUGGAGUUAUUUGAACAAUAACACUUUAGUUGAUGUAUUAGUUUUUUUAAAGUUGAUACUUGGAGAUUUUAGAAUUUUGUCCUACUACUCUGAACAUGAAUUUAGUAAUCGGUAAAUUUCUAGUUACAAUACGAAUGUUUGUGUCAUUUCCACUUUGAGCCUUUGGGCUUAAGGUGUUAAAUGACCGUCAUGCCCUUGGAGUGGGUUUUGGGGCGUGACAAAGUGGUAUUAGAGCACUAAGUUAUGAUCUUGUUGGGAACAUGUUUUAGUUUACUUUGAGGAUAGAUGAGUGACGCAUUAGUUUAAGUUUCAGUUUCAGUUUCAGUUUCGUCUUGUAUAAAUUCAUAUUCUUCCUUAUGAAUCUAAAUUGUCUAAUUGGUUUUCUAUUGACUAAUUUAGUUAUACCUAAUGCUUUAUAGGACAACAUGCCACCAAGAAUACCAGCAUCUUCCCAAAACAUCCAAGCUAAUAAUGAUGUACCUCCUCCACUAAAGGUUUGCCUCCCAUGAAUGCGGAAGGGCUUUAUAGGUAUCUUGAGACUUUAGCUAGUUUGGUUAAGUGUUAGGCUAGAGCUAUUAAGACUCAAGCUCUUGGAGAACCCUCAUAUUCUAAGGGUAGUUCAUUUGACGACUUUAAGAAGUUAGGUCCUCCUUAUUUUUCUAGUACUUCAGACCCAAUGGAAGCAGAAGCUUGGAUUUUCAAGAUAGAGAAAUUCUUUGAUGUUAUAGAUUGCUUUGAAGAACAAAAGGCCUCUUAUGCAGCAUUUAUAUUAGAUAAAGAAGCAAAUCAUUGGUGGCGUAUGACCAAAAGGCUUUUAAAGGAUCAGGGACCUAUAGUUUGGAGACAGUUUAAGGAGGCAUUUUACAAAAAAUACUUUCUCGACAGUGUUGACGACAAAAAAUAAGAAAGUUUGUUCAUUUGGAACAAAGGGAUAUGAUGAUGGCCCAGUAUGAAGCUAAAUUUACAGAGUUGUCACGUUUUGCUCCACAGUUGAUUACUAUAGAGGAGGAAAAUGCAUUAAAGUUUUAGGAUGGAUUGAAACCCUAUUUGAAGAACAAAAUAUCUAUUUUGAAGCUUAGUGUCUAUUCAGAGGUUGUAAAUAGAGCCCUUACAGUGGAAAAGGAUAAUAAGGAGCUUCAGCAGUAUAGAGAGCAACAAAAGAAAAGGAGUAGGAGUGAUAGUGCCCAUGAUAACCAAGCACCAAAAAGGUUUGUUUCAACAUAGAGUCAUAUUAAAGGAGAAGUCAUGCAAAAUUUAGAUAUGACUUGUUAUAUUUGUUGUAAGAAACAUUGGGGUAAACCUUGCUAUAAAGAGUCUAGAGCUUGCUUUGAUUAUGGGAAUCAUGGACAUAUGAUUCGGGAUUGAUCAAAGAAUAAGAAGUUUAUAAUUGGGAAGCCUAAGGAGGAGAAUAAGGAGGAUAAAUAGAAACCUAGAGUCCAAGGGUGGAUGUUUUCUAUGACUCAUCAAGAUGCUCAAGCCACUUCUGAUGUGGCAACAACUACUAUUCGAAUUUACACUUUAUUGAUAGAGUCUUGAUUGACCUAAACUCAACACACUCUUUGUUUCAAUAUCUUUUGUUGGUUUGUUAGGUAUGCUUGUUGGUAGCCUAAACUUUGAUUUGAAUGUUGUUAUUCCUAUGAGACAUUCUAUUAUGGAUAAUAUAAUGUUUUGAGGUUGUCUUAUGAUGACUAGUUAUAUGAAGAUGUUAGUUGACUUAGCACUUCUUGACCUUUAGAAUUUUGAUGUGAUUUUGGAGAUGGAUUGGUUAGUUUCCUUCUAUGUCCUUAUUAAUUAUUUUGGUAAAAGGGUGAUUUUCAUAUUCCUGACCAAUAUAAGUUUAGUUUUAAGGGAAAGCAUGUGGUUAGACCGUUGUGUAUGAUCUAGGUUUUAUGGGCUAGUUCCUUGCUUAGGAAAGGUUGUUAAGGGUUUUAUGCCUAUGUGGUGCAAGAUGGGAAAGACACUAUGUUCUAUUAUUGUCCAGUUGAUAAAGGUCUAGUGAAGUAAUCUUAGUAUUCGGGAGGUCACUUAGGAAGUAGAUGAAGAGAUAAGAGAAAAACAUUUUCAUUUAUUUCAAGACUCAUGUAUGUCAAGUUUAGAGGACUAAACUUCUGCUAAGGAGGGGAGGAUGUAAUGCCCCAAACCAAUUUAGGGGUAAAAUCAUAAUUUAGAAAUUAUUAAUUAAUUAAAGUAAUUUAAUAAAGGUAAAAAGUUCUUUUCCUAUUUAAAACCCUUAUAUAUAAAUUAGAUUUUUCCUAUCUUCUCUAUUCAGAAAACCCUUUUACACAGAGAUCAGAAAUAUCAAAGAGCAUAGGGCUGAAGAUUUGGAGGUUUAGGGUUUAAAGAUUAAUUUUUCAAGCAAGAUUUUUAAUCCUUAAAUUUAUAUUUUAUAUUAAUUAGUUUUGAACACUUUAGAUAUUCUUUGGAAUAUCUCAAUUUUGAUUAGAGUUCGGUUAAUUAAUUUAUAGGUCAAAAAAGAUUAAAAAUUUAUGAACAUAGUUUGAUUAAUUAAUGGAGAUCGACAGAUUUUGAUUACUCAAAUGAAUAGAUCUAGAAAGAAAAAACAAAUAAAUAAAAUAAGAGUCACAUGAUUUUCUGGAACGGUGAAGAAAAAAAUGAUAAUAAUAAUAAUGUAGAUGUGUGUGGUGUAGUAGAGGGUUUAAAAGAAAAGAAAAGAAAAAAAAACAAGCACGCAUCUGGACGUCUAGAGAAUGAAGGAACAAAAGAAGAAGAAAAAAAAAGGUGCUAUUAUUAUUAUAAUAAUAAUGGGUGUAGUUGGUGGCUUAGAGUAAUAGUCUUGCAGGGUCUUUGAAAGUAAUAAUAAUAAUAAUAAUAAGGGUUAUGCUACGGUACCGAAAUAUACUUUUCGGUACCAUACCCCAAAAUUUGCACCAAUUGCAUCUUGCCACAUGUGAGGAUUGUUGAAUAAAAAAGAAAAAAAAAACUUGCUAUAUAGGUUACAAACCGGUCACCUCCUAUGCCAAGAAAAAAUAAUCCAAUGCAACACAAAAGUUUUAACUCUUUACAACAUCCAAUUCUAUAAUUUGAGGAUUUAUUUUAUAAAAGAUUGAAAAAUGUUGAAUAAUUUGUGAAAAUAUAAAUUUUCUAAAAGAAAAGAAAUUAGAAUUUAUUUUAUUUGUUCAUAUAAAGUGAUAAACCAAAGAGGUGAAGAAAAAAAAUUAAAUUUAAAACAAACUAAGUAUUCAAAACAAAAUAAUUCAAUGACAUAAUUUAUAAAUUGAGAGUCAAUUAAUUUAUUUUAUUUUAAAUUGAAAUUAUUUGUGGAAAAAAUUGGAUGAAUAUUGCAAAUGCGAAAAAGCAAUAUAAUUGGUUUAUGAAGUAAAAAAAAUGAAUAAUUUCAAUGAAUUGUAAGUAUUGCUCCAUGCAUUCCCACUUGAUGGCGAAACUUGCUUUUUAUUUGGUGAAAAAUUGAUUUUUUUGAAAAAAACUUGGAGUCGCCACUUAUUUUUGUUUUAUUUUUAAGGGAAAACAAAAUAAGAAAAAAAAAACUCCUAAGUAUGACUCCUUAUUUGGAAAAGACAGUCUGUGGAAAACCAAAGUCGAGUCCGAGGGUCAAGUUACCUAUUGGGAAGGUAUAGUGGUGAGUUGUAGCACCCCUCUAAAUCCUAUAAUAAGGUCUCUACUAAAUAAGGUGAAACAUACAUGGAAAUUAACUAAGAGAUCAAUGGAUACCAAAAUGAUCAAAUUAUCAAACGAAUCAUCUAUGAGAAUAAGCAAAAUAGGAGUGAGAUCAUACCUUAGCAGCAAGUAAUAGUGCGCUAUCAUGGAAACAAUGUUAGCUCAAGUAUAAAAUUAUAACAUGCAUAUCAAAGAGUAAGACAAAUAUCAAACAAUAUUUAUUAAGCAUAAUAGUUGACAAUCAGAAGAGGAAACUCAUAUGUAGGGCCCUCACCAAAGGCCAAUUGAUUUUGCAUGAAUUGAUCCUACAAAUUCCAUUGUUUUGGAAUUAUGAAAAUCAUAUUCAUUCUUAUUUAAAAUCAAGAAAAAACAAAAUAUUAUUAGAAAAUCAAAGAAAAUUUGUGAAAGUGCUUACCUAAAGGGAAAGGUAGCAAGUUUAUUAAAAAUGAGAUUUUUUUUUACCUAAAACCCUAAUAAAGGAUAAAAAGUUGUAGAAUUAAAAAUAUUUGAAAACUAAAGUGGAAUUAAAAUUAUUUGAAAGAAACUAGAGUUGUGAAAAUUAUUUGAAAAUUGAAAUCUUAAAAAUUAAAUUUAAAAAUUAGAAUUUAAAAAAAAUUGAAAAUAGGAGUUUUGAAAAUUGGAAUUUUGAAAAAUUAUUUAAAAGUGAGAGUUUUGAAAAUUGGAAAUUUGGAAAAGUAUUUGAAAAUGGAAGUUUUGAAAAUUAAAUUUGAAAAUGGGAAUUUUGGAAAAUUAUUUGAAAAUGGAAGUUUUGAAAAUUGGAAUUUUGAAGAAUUAUUUGAGAAUAGAAUUUUUAAAAAUUAAAUUUGAAAAUUGGAAUUUUGGAGAAUUAUUUGAGAAUGAGAGUUUUGAAAAUUAUUUGAAAAUUAGAGUUUUGAAAAUUAAAUUUGAAAAUUGAAGUUUUGAAAAUUAGAGUUUUAAAAAUUAAAUUUGAAAUUUGAAGUUUUGAAAAUUGGAGUUUGAAAAUUAUUUGAAAAUUGAAGUUUUGAAAAUUAAAUUUGAAAAUUGGAAUUUUGGACAAUUAUUUGAAGAUGGAAGUUUUGGAAAUUAAAUUUGAAAAUUGAAAUUUUUGACAAUUAUUUGAGAAUGGAAGUUUUGAAAAUUGGAAUUUUAAAGAAUUAUUUGAGAAUGGAAAUUUUGAAAAUUAGAUUUGAAAGAAACUAGAGUUUUGGAAAAUUAUUUGAAGAUUAAAGUUUUGAAAAUUGGGAUUUUAGAAAAUUGAACUUUGAUAGCAAAAUAUGAAGAAAUAAAUAAAUAAAAAAUGUGAGUUGUGGUGAUCGGUUCAGUGGGUUCUAUGACAUCAACUAUUGGCUGCUGCUUCUCCAUCAUUCCAGACAAAGCCAAUCUUGUUGACCACUCAAGAACAUCAUCUAUUAUGUUUGAGACUCGCUUCUAAUACCUGGCUCUUGCAGCUUCAUCAGGGGCAUGGUGGCUCGGUAACAAUAUAAACAACACAGCCAACACUGCAAACAAAAGCCUAGUUGUCCACUUUGGGCACUCCUCCUCAUCUUUCUUGGGCAAAAACUGGAAUAAUUCUCAUAGUGUUACUUCCUCUGCAAGGAUGUUAGGGAAAAACCAGACCCACUUUUGAAGAAUUAUCCAUAAAGCACCAAAAAUUGCAAGUCUCAAUAAUAGCAGAGAGAGUAUGAGUAGUAGAACACCAACACAUGUAUAUAGUACUAGUAACCUGCACCCAUGAGGAUACUGGAAACAAGAAAAUAGCAAGAGUCAACACAUGCCAAAAAAAAAUGAGAAAAGUGUCUACCAUAAUGGCCUCCGUUUGACAAAUUUCCAUGCGAAAAAGGCAUAAUUUUUAGAAAAUAAUUGAUCGGUGAAGAUCUCUAAAUGUGUCGGCCAAGUAGUCAAUUUUUUUAUUUCCAGGUCGAACAAUUUUCACUACACAAUCACAGUGCACUAAAAGAUUCUUCCCUUUUAGAUAUAACUUGCAACAAGUGCCAUCCAAUUGUUUUUUUUACACCUUACAACUUUGUUUAAAGGUGCAUUAAAUGCAACCUCCUCAAACUCUGGUACCAUUUGCCCCUUUCUUGCCCAUCCAAGCAUUCCACCAUCUUCUUUGGACAGACAAAUUGAGUAUUCCACAACCAGAUCACUCAAAUCCACUCUACCAGAAAUCCUCCAUUAAAGCUCCAAUAAAAGCUUAAGGUCAUCCUCCUUGACAAGCAAGUGUUGCACUAAUAUUUCCCUACCACUUCCAGAGUUGCCUCCAUAACUAAAUGAAGCUUUGGGACAUGGCUGAGCCACCAUGUGAGGGAAUCUCUUUAGGCUAAGAGAAAAAGGAUAAGGUGAACCAGGUAGGAAUGUUUUGGGAAGAAAUGCGUGUAGAGAAGGAAAUGAAGAGAAUUUACGAAUGAUUGAAGGAGAUGUGAGGUUGAGAGUGGGAAUCAAAGAUAGUUUUAGUGCAAUGAGAGCUGGAGAUACACCUGGUGGGAGAUGAGCAGCUCUCAACAUUGCUUUCUCUUUUGAAAUCUCUUAUCCUCUUUCUUUGUGUCGAGAGUGAGGCUUCAGGUGACAAGUCUAGACCAAGGGUGCAUGCCAGAUGCACAGACACAAACUAAUACCAAGAACAGAGAAAGAAAUAACCCAAAACAAAGCAUGCCCAAAGCAACAAACAAUCCAUUAAAUAAGGCCUUAUUUCAUGCUGAAAUAAAUGAGCCUAAAGCAGAGAAUGAGCCAGAAUAAAUCUUAAACAAAAAAAUGGAUAGAACUUUCAAGCAUCAAAUGUAAGUCAAGAUUCAAAUUCAUCAUCAGAUUUAAACUGAAAGAAAUUGGAGAACAAAACAGUGUGAAGUUUGCAAUCAAUCCAAGAUCAGCAAGACAACAUCUAAUCUCUUGUAAUCACACUCAAACAACAAAUAAUUCUCAAAGAAUUGACUAAAAAUGAGAGUAAAGCAGUGUAAAAAAUGAAAGACAUGGAGAUUACAGAAAUCUCACUUGGAGAGCCUUCUCCCAAUCCGUGUUAUCUUAGUUUCAAGUGAGUUGUGUCUCCUUCCAAAAACCAGCAAAGAAUACUCAAUUUUCCAUCUCCUCUGCUCUUCCUCUAGACGCUCUCUACAGCUAGCUCACCCUCCUCCUAAAAAAAGUUUAUCCCAAUCCUCUCUUCUCUCUUCCCUCUUCCAUCUCUUUUGAUUUUUCUCUUUUUUUAGUUUUUUGCUUCCCAUUUUUUUGGGUGGCCGACCUCCAUUUUUUUCUUUCCCUAUUCUUCAUCUUCUCCCUUCCCAAAGACUGCAACACCCACACUCCACUUCCACUCAUGACUCUCACUCUCAUGACCCUAUUUUUUUUUUCUUCCUCCCGUCCAACACAACCACCAUAUUUAGCACGCACCAUCUCCCCUUCCCUUAUUUUUUUCCAUUUUCUCUCUUUCCUUUUAUUUUAUUUAUUUAUUUAUAUUUUUUUUCUUUCUCUCCACCCAAACGCACUACACAGCUCCAUUUGUCAGCCGAUUAUCGGAUGGUUGCUGAUGCCACUUUUGGCGACCCACCUCCACACCUCCACUGCUACUCUCUUCUCUUAUUUGAAAUUGGGUAACUUUUCAUUUCCUUAUUUAUUAUUUAUGUGUUUUUAUUUUCUUAUUAUAAUAAAUUCUUGAUCUCUACAUUGUAUUGUUUUUUUGAUAUAGAAAUUAGGUUUGUGGAUAUAUUACAUUUGGUGAUUAAUUUGGGAUAUUUGGAUUAUAUCAAUUGCAUAUUGUUUAUCUUAUUUGGACUUGGGCCUAUUACUUAUUGGUUAUUUAUUUGGGUUUAUUGGAUUGGGCUUGAGACAUUAUUUCCUUUGGCCAUGUGUAUUAUUAAUGUGGGCUUGUUAAUUAAUAUGAAUUUUAGGCCCACAAUGUGGGUAUGAAUUUUGGGCCCACAAUGUGGGUGAAAUUUGUUGGAUGACUUUAAUAUUUGAUAUAGGUUUGACCAAUUUGAACUAUUUAAUUUGGACAUGGGACAAUUGUGGUGUAUAUUAAAUUAGGCUUGGAUUAUGGGAUAUUAAAUUUAGGCCUAGUAGAAUUUAUUUUAAUUUAUCCAAUUUUAAGUUUGGUUAAUUGUGCUUGUCUUUUGGUAAUUAAUUGGGAAAUUUUGCACUGCGGCUAUUGGCAUGGGGAUAUUUAUGUUGGGUUAUAUUUGCUAAUUUGGGCCAAUUUUUAAUUGACAAAAUCUAUUAAACUAAUUUGAAGUUUGAAUUUGGGUUUGAAUGAUUAUUUUGGACUCUAUAUAUUUUUUUAUAUUUACACUUUGGGUUAUUUUUGUUUUUGCAUGGAUCCAUUCUGUAAAUCUAUUGGCUGAGUAUAAAUUUAUGACACGUGGUGUAUGGAAUUUCAUGGAAGAAAGUGGAAAUCGAAAAGCUAUAAAAAGACAUUGAGCUUAUUGUAAGCUUGUUUGGGUACACGUUUUAUUUCACACUACUAUUUGGUUUUAUUUUUAUUAAUUUCUAUAAAUAUUUGUUUGUAUAUAUUUACUUGUUGUGUACAAAAUUGAACAUCGAACAAACCAGAAAUUUUGCUUAAAUAAGAGGAACAAUUUAAUAAAUAUGUUUUAAUAAAAUAAUAGUUUUAAAAUAUUCUUCUUGACAAAAGAGAGUUUUUUUUUUAAUAAAAAUUCAAAAAAACAAAUGCUUUUAAUAGAAUUUGAAAAAUUGUAUUUAAUAAUAAUUGUCCAAAAAUUUCUUUGUUUAAUAAAAAUUGUCCAAAAAAUGUUUUUUAAAAUGAAUUCUUUUUCCUUAAUUAAAAUGGAAUUAAAAGUAUUUUUUAGAAAUAGAGGAUAUAAAUUUUUUUUCUUUUUAAUUAAAAAUUCUUUGCAAACAAAGUUAUGUCUUUUUAAAUAAUUUGUGUAAAUCACUUUUCUUAAAUGAAAACAAAUUGAAAUAAUUUUGUAAAUAAAAUUGUAAAAAUUCUUCUUUUUUUUUCUAGCAAAAGCAAGUAAAAAUAAUUUUUGUGUCCAAAUUGAAAUUUUGUAAUAAAUUCUUUUGAUACAAUAAGUGUAAAUCUUUUUUGAAAAUUGAAUACAAAUGAAAUUGAGAAAAUAAAUUAACUCUUUUUUGUAAAUAAAUAAAUUGAAAUCAUUAAUUGAAAAUCAUUUUUAAUAAAAUCCUUUGAAAUUUCUUGAAAACUAUUUUUUUAAUAUUUUUUUAUUUAGUUCAAUAAAUCAUUUUUUUUGCAUAAUUCUCUUGUUAUUUAUUUUGUGUAUUUUUGUAAUUAGAUUUCAUCAUUAUUUUUGGGUAUAUUGAUUUUCACCAUGACUUGUACAUAUUCAUUUGCAUGAUUAUUUUUCUUGGUAUCCAUAAUUAGUUAAUUAAUUUUCAUAAUUCUCUUAAUUCGUUUAGUAUAGGCCAUACAUAUAUGGGCUUAGAGGGGUGGUACGGCUCACCACCGUACCUUUCCAAUAAGUAUCCUGACCCCUGGACCCAGACUCAGUUUUUCACAAACUUAUUUUUUCCAAAUAAGGAGUCACACUUAUGGUUUUCUUUCUUAUCUUGUUUUCCCUUUAAAAAUAAAUAAAAAAUAAGUGGUGACUCCAAGUUAGAGAUGUCCAUUGGGUCGGGCCGCCCAUUUUGGCCCGUGGCACGACAUUAUAGCAGGUUGGGCCGGCACGACUCAAAAGGAGCAGGCCGUGUUGGGCCUAAAGAAACAGCCCACGCGGCCCGCCGUGCCCACUGUGUCAGCCCACUUGGCCCUUUUAAAUUUCACUUUUUACUUUUUACUAUUUACUUUUUAUUACAUGUCAAAUGUCUAUAAUACCCCUCUCAACAACUAUAAAACGACUAGUUUGAGGGGUAAAAAGUAAAUUAAUAACUAUCUUUACUUUUUAUGUCAAAUGUCAAUAUUACCCCUCCUAACAACUUUAUAAUGACUAGUUUAAAGGUUAAAUAAGUAAAUCACUCACUAUUAAUAUUUUUAGGUCUAAUAUCUAUAAUACCCCUCUCAACAACUAUAUAAUAACUAGUUUUAGGGGUAAACAAGUAAAUUACUCACCAAUACUUCUCUAUAAAUACCCUCAUUUUAAUUCUUUCUCACACAAUUCUCAAAUUUCUCCCCUUAUAUUAUUUACAAUUCUCUCUACUUUUUCUUUUCACAAUUCUCUAAAUUGAAAUUCUCUCAAGUGGUAAGGAUAUCUACUAACUCUACAAGUACUAAAGAUAUCUACCAACUUUACAAAUGGUCAUUAUUCAUAAGGUUGAGGUAUUUAUAUUUAGUUAUUUCAUUUAUUUAUUUUAAUUCUAUAUAUUUAAUUUUAUUGUUUUCUUUCUUUUACCUUAUUUUUUUCAUCUAAAAUUAAAAAUGGAUCCUUAUCACCUAGAUGUAGCAAACCUUGACUUUGGUAUUGAUGCAUGUAAUGAAUUUAAUCCAUUUGAAGAUGAUGAGAUUCCCACCUCCUCUAGUGUUCCUCUCUUUGACCUUCCCCAACCCAAUCCCAUAGGCAAAAGACCUAGAGCUAGUAGACGCACAUUUGUAGUAUGAAAUCACUUCACUAUAAUAAAUAGACAAAAUACAAGAGGAAAGGUAGAAAAUCUAGUAGAAUGUAAGUAUUGUAAAAAACAUAUAGUUGCAAAGCUAGUGGUGGCACAGGUCACCUUAAAAGACAUGCCGAACAAUGUACAAAAAAACAUGGUGCAUUAGAUCCUAGACAAUCCCAAAUAAGUCAAAACGAAAUAGGAUCUAGUACAUCUUCAAUAACCCCCAUUAUAUACAAUCAACAAUUCCUAAGAGAAAGGUUAGCUAAAUUGAUAGCCAAUAUGGGGCUUCCACUGACAUUUGGAGAAGAUUCUAAAUUUGUACAUUUCAUGAAAAAGUAUGUCCAACCAACCUAUCAUAGAAUUCCUAGGACUACUUCUCAUAAUGAUGUAAUUAAAGGUUACCUAAAAGAAAAACAAUUAGUAAUUGAAGAAUUUAAAAAUCAUAAUGGUAUUAUAUAUGUGACCUCAGAUUUAUGGACUAAUCAAAGUAAUGAACCAUUUACAUGUGUGACAUCACAUUAUACAGAUUCAAAUAUGAAAUUGCAAAAGAAAAUAUUAGGUUUUCGUAAAAUAUUACAUCCUCACAAAGGCCCUUCCAUAUAUGAUUCUUUGACAAGUGUUUUUAAGGAAUAUGAGAUACAAAGCAAAAUUUUUAGUAUUACCUUUGAUAAUGUUUCAAAUAAUAAAAUGUCAUAAAUUUAUUUGUAAAAACAAUUAGAGAAGGUCCACUAAUUGAAAUAUUUCAUGUGAGAUGUAUGUGUCAUAUAAUUAAUUUAAUAGUACAAGAUGGUUUAAAAUUAAUCACCCUCAUUAUAAGCUAUCCAGUCUACUAUACUAUUUCUUGAUUCAUCUAACAAAUUACAAGAAUUUUAUACUUUAUGUCAAUUAAUAGGUUUGAAAAAGAGAAAAUUUCGUCGUGAUAUUGGUCAUCAUUGGAAUUCUACCUACCUAAUGUUAAAAUCUUAUGUAAGGUAUCAUAACAUACUAUCAGAUUAUGUCAAUAGUAAAGCAGGUGAAAUUAUAGUAACUUCUGAUGAUUGGGAGAAAGGUUUUGCUUUUUAAAAAUUCUUGAAGGUUUUUUAUGAUACUACUAACAUGUGUUCUACUGUAUAUACUCAGACAUCUUGUAUAACACUUAGAUGUAUUUGCAAUAUAAGUGAUGUGUUUCGACAAUAUAGGGAACAUCCCUUUUUUAGUGAAAUAUGUGUACAAAUGGAUUUUUUUUUUUUUUUUUUGAAAUAUUGGAAGACUAUUCCAUCACUUUAUUGUUUAGCUACUUGUAUGGAUCCAAGGGUUAAGGCUGAAGGUGUAGAAAAUGUUUUAAAUUACAUAGCUAUUUGUAUGAACCAACCAUCUGAACCAGAGGGUAAGAUAUACGAACAAUUAAACAACUUAUAUAAAUAUUAUGAGAAUAAAUAUGGUAAUGUCUCUUCAAGUACUAUAACUUCAUCUAUAUUUGGAAAUGAUCUAUUUUUUUAUACAAUUAGCUAAGGGAAAGUGACAAGUUGGUCCUUCAAGUAGUUGUGAUCUUUUAAAAUAUUUAGAUACUAAUUAGUGUUCAUACCUAUCCCUUGAUGAAGUACAAAAUUUUGAUAUUAUGAAGUGGUGGAAAUCUCAUAAAUUCACUUUUCCUAUACUAUCUAAAAUGACACGUGAUCUACUAACCCCAUCGGUAUAUACUGUAGCAUCGGUAUCUUCUUUUUCUAUAGCUGCAAAUAUAAUAGGAGAUUGAAGGACAAAUCUUAUAGCAAAAAGGCUAGAAGCUUUGACAUGUUUGAAGGAUUGGGAAGAUGGACGCAUGGGACUUCAAACUUUAGAGGAUGAACUUAAAGAAGCCUUCAAGAAAUUGCUUCUCAAUGCAAACAAUGAUGUUCAAGAGAUUGAUGAUGAUUGAAGAUGAAAAAAAAGAAUGAAGAUUGAAUAAGAAGACAAAAGUGAAUAUGAUAAUUGAAGAAUUAUAUGUUGUUCGUUUCUUUUAAAUCUAUUAUAUGUAACUAAUUUUUAAAGGUUGAGUAAUGCAUAUGAUUGAUAGUUGGAUGGGUGCCAACCUAGUUGGGGUGUACUCAAACUAUAGUGAUCAAUCCUUACUUUUUUUUCUCUCCUUAUUUUUUCAUGUAAUUUGUUGAAAUAUUGAAUAAAAGAAUUAUUAUUUUUUUAUAUUUCAUUUCCUUUUAUAUCCCAUUAUUUUAAAUUUAUUUUUAUUUUGAUAAAAAAAACAAAUUCAAAUAUAAUUUUUUUUACUAUUUUUAAAAACAAAAAACUAACAUUUCUAUAAAUUUUACAAUUACAAAUUCGAUAAAUAUAAAUGUAAAAAAUAAAAAGUAUAAUUAUUAGAGGUGUAUAAAAAAUAAAAAAAUAUAAUUAUUAGAGGUGUUUAAAGUAACAAAAAGAAUUUUUAUUUAAUAAUGAAAAAAACUUAAGAAAAAAUUACUUAAAAAAUUAAAUUAAAUUUUUUAACAAAGUGGGUGGCCCAUGGGCCAUGGCCCGCUGGCAUGGCACGGCCCAACAUGAUUAGCCCGCAAACCUAUGGGCCGUGUUGGGCCACCUUUUCCUUACAUGGGCCGGCCCGACUUGACACGAUUUUUAAGUGGACAGUACUAGCUCGACAAGUUGGCCCGUAUUAAUGGCCCGAUCAAUCUCCAAGUCUUUUUCAAAAAAUCAAAAUUUCAAUGAAUAAAAAGCGAGUCUCGCCAUUUAAGUAGGGACACACGUAAAAAAUACGGAUUCAUAUUUGGUAUCUUUUUUUUUGUACAAUUGAAUAAUGAGAGUACAAUGGUAAUUGGUAGGAUUUUCUUUCUUUUAGAUAAAUGGUAAGUAUUUUAUUAAAUAAUAAAUUAUAUUUUAUAUUUAAUAAUAAAUUAUAAAAAAAUUGUAAUGUUUAGAUAUAUAUGGGGUGCAUAUGAUUAUUUAUCAUCGAUGUGUCAUCUUUACCAAUUUCAUAAGUUUUUCUUAAUUUUUUUAAUAACAUGCCUCUACAGAUGGCAUUUUAUUAGUGCGGUUAAAUGUGAGUAGGUCCCAAAACAAAUAGUCGGUAGCAAAGAGCAACCCAUAAAGAACUUGAGGUCAUUUUCUAAUAAUUAUGACUUCUCAGGCGUGAACGAUGGGAUUCGACAAAAAAAAAAAAAAAAAAGAAAAGAAAUGGGAUUUGACAAAAAGGUAAGGCCUGCGAUGAGGUCAUUUUCUAAUAAUUAUGACUUCUCAGGCGUUAACGAUGUGAUUCGACAAAAAGAAAAAAGAGAAAAGAAAUGGGAUUUGACAAAAAGGUAGGGCCUGCGAUGAGAAAAAUGAUCUGAAUCAUGUCAUGAAUUGUUAAAUCAACAUUGUAGUCUCAUAGCUGGCAGUCGGGAUAAGACUGACAGGUAGGUUUGUAUCUUAUUGAGAAAGGCUCCCCGUCUUAUUGGUUUAGAUAUAUAUAUAUAUAUCUAUAUAGCAAUACAGCUGUUCUGCUAUUUCUUAUCUCCAUCUCUCUCUAGCUAGAAAGAUGAAGGACACCGUAGUUCUGUAUCCUUCUACAGGUAUCAGCCAUGUCAUUCCCAUGGUAGAGUUUGGACAACACCUGCUCACUUACUACCCUUCCUUCUCCAUCACCAUCCUCAUUUCCACUUUACCUUCUGACACCGCCUCCACUGCCGCAUACAUCGCCUCCGUGGCUGCCGCCACCCCUUCUAUUACCUUCUACCACCUCCCCACUGUUUCUUAUCCCAACCCCGCCAGUUAUCCAGCUCUGUGCUUUGAAUUCAUGGCCCUUAACAACAAUAAUCUCCGUCAAUUCCUAGAAUCCAUGUCCCAGACCUCAAGUAUUGAAGCCUUCAUCAUCGAUUUCUUCUGCAAUUCCUCCUUUGAAGUUUCUGUAAAUCUUAACAUCCCAACAUACUAUUUCCGUCCCUCAGGGGCAAAUGCGCUUGCUGUGUUCCUUUACCUCCCCACCAUUGAUAGAAACAUGACAAAAAACUUGAAAGAUGAUCUCAACAUGCAUCUCCGUGUCCCGGGACUACCAUCCAUUGUAGCUUCUGAUAUGCCUUUGCCGUUCCUUGAUCGCACGACUAAAGCCUAUCGAUACUUCAUUGACAGCGCAGAGCAGAUGGCUAAAUCAUCUGGAAUCAUCGUAAACACUUUUGAAUUGCUUGAAUCAAGAGCUUUAAAAGCCAUAUUAGAGGGUUUGUGCACUCCAGAUUGGCCUACCCCACCAAUUUUCUGCAUUGGCCCAUCAAUUUUGAGCAGCAAUCGAGCUGGUGGCGGCAGCAGCAGCGAUGAACACGAGUGGUUGAGCUGGCUCAACCUGCAACCGAGUCAAAGCGUGGUGUUUCUGAGUUUUGGUAGCAUGGGGCGGUUCUCUGUAAAGCAAUUGAAGGAAAUGGCAACUGGGCUUGAAAAAAGUGGCCUGAGGUUUUUGUGGGUGGUGCGCAAUCCACCUAGUGAUGAAAAAGAGAAAAACAUUUCCGAUGCACCAGAACCGAGCUUGGACUCAUUCUUCCCUGAAGGGUUCCUUGAAAGAACAAAGGAUAGAGGUUUUGUGGUGAAGUCCUGGGUAGCACAGGUGGCGGUACUGAAUCAUGGCUCGGUUGGCGGUUUCGUGACUCAUUGCGGAUGGAGCUCAGUUGUCGAGUCAGUGUGUGCCGGGGUGCCUAUGGUGGCAUGGCCUCUGCAAGCCGAGCAAAGGAUUAUUAGGGUGUUUUUGGUGGAGGAACUGAAGGGAGCUUUGGCGGUGAACCAGUCGGAAAACGGCUUUGUGAGUGCCACUGAGUUGGAGAACCGAGUGACCGAGUUAAUGGAUCCCGAGAAAGGAAACCCACUGAGAGACCGAGUUACAGCCAUGAGAGAUGGUGCCAAGGCAGCCAUAGGAGAGGGCGGGUCAUCUCGAGUUGCGUUGGCCAAGUUGAUUGGGUCGUUUAAGCGAGCUUGACUGAGUUGAAAGAUUUCAAUUCGGUUCUAUGAUUUCCCACCUCAAGGAAGUUCCGGAAUAUAAAUAUGAAAUGAUUUUAUUGUAAAUUUAUUUGUUAAUUAAAAGUGAUUAAACUGGUCUAGCUAGCUUAAUCUUCUUUUCCCUACCUUAUAUGAAAUAAUAUUUGAUCGUCCCAUUAUACAUAUGAAUAAAUACUUUGAAAUUAUUAAGCUUAUCUUUGGUUCAACAAAAGUUUGAAGGAUAAUGUGAUAGUAGAGAGAGAUAAAAAAAAAGUGAAUGAAAAUAAAAAAAAAUUAAAAUAAAUAAUUUUUUAUGUAUUACUUCAUAUUCAUUUUACUUUAUGGAUUCUAUAUUUUGCUUAAUGCGUUCUUACUCGAUAACAAACUCGUUUUUUUUUUUUUUUUUUUUGUGAAAAUUUGAUUUUUAGACAAGACUUGGAAUCACCACUUAUUUUUGUUUUAUUUUUUAAGGGAAAAAUAAAAUAAAAAAGAAAAAUUCUAAGCAUGACUCCUGAAAAAAAAAACAGGUUUAUGAAAAAUCGAGUUUGGGUCCGGGGGUCAAGUUACCUAUUGGGAAGGUACGGUGGUGAGUCGUAACACCCUUCUAAGCCCUAUAAUAAGGUCUCUAUUAAAUAAGGUGAAACAAAUAUGAUAAUUAAUAAGUAGAUCAAUGGAUACCAAUGAAAUGAUCAAAUAAUAAAACAAAUCAAACAUGAAAACGAAUAAAUAAAUGAAGUAAGAAUAGGAGCGUACCUUAGCAGCAAAUAAUAAAAGGCUAUUAUGAAACAGAGUUAGUGUAUAAUGAUAAAUAUAAAAUAUCUCACACAAAAUCAAUCAAAAUCAAACAAUAUCAAUCAUGCGAUUCACUUGAAUUAUUUUUUUAAGAAAUGUUAUGAAUGUUGGGCCCCCCACCAAAACCUGAUUAAUUUUGUAUUAAUUAAUCUCAUAAAUUUCGUUGUUUCUAGAGUUCUGAAAAUCGUAUUCAUUCUCAUUUAAAAAAUCGAAAAAAAAGAAAAAUUAUUUUAAAAUCAAAGGAAAUUUGUGAAAUUACUUACCCGUAAGGAAAGGUAGCAAUUUUAUCAAAAUCCGGAUUUUUGGUGACCUAAAACCUUAAUGAAGGACAAAAGUUGAAGACUUAAAAUUAUUGGAAAACUGGAGUGGAUUUAAAAUUCUUUGAAGAAAAAUGGAAUUUUAAAAAUUAUUUAAAAAUUGAAAUCUUAAAAAUAUAUUUGAAAAUUGGAGUCUUGAAAAUUAAAUUUAAGGAUUAGAAUUUUUAAAAUUAAAUUUGAAAGAAAUUGGAAUUUUGUGAGAAUUGGAGUUUUGAAAAUUAAAUUUAAGAAAUAGAAUUUCGGAAAUUAAAUUUAAGAAUUCGAAUCUUAGAAAUUUAAUUUGAAAGAAAUUGGAAUUUUGGAAAUUAUUUUAGAAUUGGAGUUUUGAAAAUUAAAUUUAGGGAAUGAAAUUUUGGAAAUUAAAUUUAAGAAUUAGAAUUUUCGAAAUUAUAUUGGAAUUUGUGGAAUUGUAGAAAUUGUCUAUUUAAGUGACACCUUUUAUAUAAAUUAAAAUUUUUAGGAAUUGUAAAAAAUGUCUCUUCAAAAGACAUCUUUAGCUUUAAAAUCAAAUUCAUGAAAUAUUCAAAUUGUCAAAUUGUAGAAGGUGUCUCUUCAAGAGACACCUUUAAUACAUAUUAGAUUUUUUGCCACGUGGAAAGUGUCUUUUCAAGAGACACCUUUCAUAUAAAUCCAAUUUUCUGAAAUUAUAGAAAGUGUCUUUUCAAGAGACACCUUUAGCUUAAA
This 28864-nucleotide long non-coding RNA is filed under the name Vitis vinifera (wine grape). RNAcentral describes it as "long non-coding RNA (VVIN_LNC005315)". The record is from RNAcentral. Lineage: Eukaryota; Viridiplantae; Streptophyta; Magnoliopsida; Vitales; Vitaceae.